This is a long non-coding RNA of Equus caballus (horse), 493 nucleotides long. RefSeq lists it as uncharacterized. The record is from RefSeq and is a predicted model, not a curated record. Lineage: Eukaryota; Metazoa; Chordata; Mammalia; Perissodactyla; Equidae.
UGGAGCAUUCUGGAACUUGGAAUUCCAAAGGCUACAUUGCUGGAAUAUCCACCUGUGUAGGGACUUCUACCUUGCCCUGUGUGAUGUCAUAGUGUAGAGCCAUCUUGCUUUUGACUGGAGCAUUCAGGUUUAAUAGCACUUUAUAAGUGAUGAUUUUCUUUCUUUGUGGAACCUUUGUCAGCCAUGCUCAGCAAGGACUGCCAGGAAAAUGUUGACUCGGAGAGGUGAUACCAGAGAUUUACAGUUUAGCUGAAGCAAAGGAAGAUGAGACAGAAGAAUGGAUCUGUAGUGGUAGAAUUUCCAGUCCAGCAAUGUAAUAGGGCAUUUGUGGACUCAGGUUUAUCUUAAUUACUUCCCUAAAAUCAUGUUAUACAGAUGAUUGCCUCUGACCAAAGGCCAGUUCUACCACCAAUAAAAAUAAAACUUAGUAUGUGUGUCUCUGAGAACAUGUUACUGGUGCAGUUUGAGAAUAUCAUUAAAAUGUAUGACGCGU